Molecule: ribosomal RNA, 254 nt
Filed under: uncultured bacterium
Lineage: Bacteria
Description: partial 16S ribosomal RNA
Rfam family: Bacterial small subunit ribosomal RNA
Source: RNAcentral
UACGUAGGGUGCAAGCGUUGUCCGGAAUUAUUGGGCGUAAAGAGCUCGUAGGCGGUCUGUCGCGUCGGCUGUGAAAAUCCCGGAGCUCAACUCCGGGUCUGCAGUCGAUACGGGCAAACUGGAGUACUGCAGGGGAGACUGGAAUUCCUGGUGUAGCGGUGAAAUGCGCAGAUAUCUGGAGGAACACCGGUGGCGAAGGCGGCAUCCUGGACCGACACUGACGCUGAGGAGCGAAAGCCAGGGGAGCAAACGGG